UUACUGUUUACACAGUACGACAUGGCUAAAAUGGUUGUUCGAUAUUGUAUUAUUGUUUUAUGGAUUUUUUGUUAUUUAGACCGCAAGGCAAAGUAGAAAUGACACAGACAGACAGUGAUUUUGUUGUUCAAGAUUAAAUUAUGUUGGUGUCGGGCAGAAAGUGCAACAAAUUUUGAGAAAACAGCCAACUGUGUUUGUUGUUAUUUGAAUUAGCAUUAUUAAUGAGGAUCUGAUGGUUCAUAACUGCAACUAUUACCUCAAAUGCCCAAUAACUGUGACAGAAUCAGUUUACUUCUAUGCACACCCGCAAUUCACUGCUUCAUAAAAAUGUGUUUUUUGUAAUCAUUGCAAAUUAUUUUCAUUUAUCUGUUAACUUCUUCAUUUAUUCACAGAUUAGCAAAGGCCAAAGGGACAGCCCACAAAUAUAGAAUGCACCACAUUACCACAUAUUCAAAUAUUUCAAAACAGAUGUUGAACCUGUUCAAAGUAAACUCUUGAAAGGAAUGCUGCAUACUUCAAUUUUGUUCAACCUCAUGAGGUCUGAACAGGCAAUGAGACGGCAGUUAGGCAUCAACGUCUGCACACAUCAGUGAGACCUGUGAGUCAAGUGACAACAUUUCAGUUGUUUGCACAUUGUUUCCCCUUGAGGAGAACAUCAAAACCAGAAAUGGAUUAACUUUACUUUCUGUUCCAUUUGGAUCCGAAAAUCGAUGUGAGUCAACGAUGGAUAACACUACCUUUAAUUAAGUCAAACAUGGUAAUCGUGGAGGAAUCUUUUGGCUCCGUCAGUAGGUGGCUAAAUCAAGUUGUCCCCCAGCCGCCAGAUGACGCGAGUGUCUUUGACAGGACGAAAUAUUCGCCAUUCUGUAAUUCUGUUCCGAAACGCCAAGUGAAAAGGUAUUCCAAAUUCGUUACGGAAUUGCGGUGUCGAUCUACAUUUUCAAUUCGAUCAACAUUGAAAUUUAAUGAAAUAUCGUCCGUUGUUAGCUGUUCCUGUCGGAUGUACGUAUCAUCUCACGCCGAACACUACAGAGUUGGUGUUCAGGUUGGAGAUCCUGUUGCUUAACUGUUGCAGAUUGUGAGAACUCGAAAAAUUCGGAGCCCCAUGGCUGGCAUCAUGGCCACAGUGGUUUUGUUGCAGCCAGCUGGUGAAAGGUGUGAUCGAGUCAAGUUGAGUUGCAGCAUGCUGCCUGCAGUUUAUUGAGCUGGUGUUAUCCUGAAGUGUCAUUGCCGGAAGACUUUUUGAAAUGGACUUGGUGAUACUUAAACUAUGCCUGUGUAGUUCAAUGUGCAGUGGUUUUGCCGCCUGUUUCCAGUUGAGAGAUGUGAUUAUGCAGCUGAUACAGGAGUGAAGAAAGAGAACUGAAGUAGCUGUGCUGGUGUUCUCCUGAAAUUGCUGUGCCACAGGAGUUGCAGAUAGUGUUUGGAUUCUCAUAGAAGUUUAUUUAAAGAGUCUGGAGAUAAUCAGCCACUUCUGCUAAUAGGCUAACUUGUGUG
This 1497-nucleotide long non-coding RNA is filed under the name Daphnia pulicaria. Its description in RNAcentral is "uncharacterized LOC124350302, transcript variant X2". The record is from RNAcentral. Lineage: Eukaryota; Metazoa; Arthropoda; Branchiopoda; Diplostraca; Daphniidae.